GAGUUUGAUCAUGGCUCAGAUUGAACGCUGGCGGCAUGCCUUACACAUGCAAGUCGAACGGCAGCAUGAUCUAGCUUGCUAGAUUGAUGGCGAGUGGCGAACGGGUGAGUAAUACAUCGGAACGUGCCCUGUAGUGGGGGAUAACUAGUCGAAAGACUAGCUAAUACCGCAUACGACCUGAGGGUGAAAGUGGGGACCGCAAGGCCUCAUGCUAUAGGAGCGGCCGAUGUCUGAUUAGCUAGUUGGUGGGGUAAAGGCCCACCAAGGCGACGAUCAGUAGCUGGUCUGAGAGGACGAUCAGCCACACUGGGACUGAGACACGGCCCAGACUCCUACGGGAGGCAGCAGUGGGGAAUUUUGGACAAUGGGCGAAAGCCUGAUCCAGCAAUGCCGCGUGUGUGAAGAAGGCCUGGUUGUAAG
Molecule: ribosomal RNA, 420 nt
Filed under: uncultured microorganism
Description: bacterial SSU rRNA
Rfam family: Bacterial small subunit ribosomal RNA
Source: RNAcentral